RNAcentral lists this ribosomal RNA (253 nucleotides) under uncultured bacterium. RNAcentral's name for it is "partial 16S ribosomal RNA". It matches the Rfam family "Bacterial small subunit ribosomal RNA", at positions 524 to 776 of the family's 1533-position model. The record is from RNAcentral.
UACGUAGGGGGCAAGCGUUGUCCGGAAUUAUUGGGCGUAAAGAGCGUGUAGGCGGUCCGGUAAGUCAGCUGUGAAAGUCAAGGGCUCAACCCUUGAAUGCCGGUUGAUACUGUCGGGCUAGAGUCCGGAAGAGGCGAGUGGAAUUCCCGGUGUAGCGGUGAAAUGCGCAGAUAUCGGGAGGAACACCAAUGGCGAAGGCGGGUCUCUGGGCAGUAACUGACGCUGAGGAGCGAAAGCGUGGGGAGCGAACAGG